Molecule: ribosomal RNA, 118 nt
Filed under: Sarcocystis bovini
Lineage: Eukaryota; Apicomplexa; Conoidasida; Eucoccidiorida; Sarcocystidae
Description: partial 5.8S ribosomal RNA
Rfam family: 5.8S ribosomal RNA
About the family: 5.8S ribosomal RNA (5.8S rRNA) is a component of the large subunit of the eukaryotic ribosome. It is transcribed by RNA polymerase I as part of the 45S precursor that also contains 18S and 28S rRNA.
Source: RNAcentral
AUUUUCAGCGAUGGAUGUCUUGGCUCGCGCAACGAUGAAGGACGCAGUGAAAUGCGAAACGCAAUGUGAAUUGCAGAAUUCAGGGAACCAUCAGAUUUCUGAACGCAAAUGGCACCUU